Molecule: ribosomal RNA, 231 nt
Filed under: uncultured Phaeophyscia
Lineage: Eukaryota; Fungi; Ascomycota; Lecanoromycetes; Caliciales; Physciaceae
Description: partial small subunit ribosomal RNA
Rfam family: Bacterial small subunit ribosomal RNA
Source: RNAcentral
CACGUAAAAGACUAGUGUUAUUCAUCUUUAAUAGGUUUAAAGGGUACCUAGACGGUCAAUCAAGUCCGACAAGGAUACUAAUCGACUAGAGUUUAAUAUGAGGGAGCACAAAAGUACUGAUAAGUGGAGAGAUGAAAUUCUGUGAUACAAUAUAUGGCACUGGCAAAGGCGAAGGCAUCUCAUUAUGUAAUAACUGACGUUGAGGGACGAAGGCUAUGUAUAGCAAAAAGG